UACAGAGGUCUCAACCGUUGUUCGGAUUCAUUGGGCGUAAAGGGUGCGUAGGCGGUCGCGCAAGUCGGAUGUGAAAUCUCAGGGCUCAACCCUGAAACUGCAUUCGAUACUGCGUGGCUAGAGUACUGGAGAGGAGACUGGAAUUUACGGUGUAGCAGUGAAAUGCGUAGAUAUCGUAAGGAAGACCAGUGGCGAAGGCGAGUCUCUGGACAGUAGCUGACGCUGAGGCACGAAGGCCAGGGGAGCAAACGGG
This 253-nucleotide ribosomal RNA is filed under the name uncultured bacterium. RNAcentral's name for it is "partial 16S ribosomal RNA". It matches the Rfam family "Bacterial small subunit ribosomal RNA", at positions 524 to 776 of the family's 1533-position model. The record is from RNAcentral.